Xiphias gladius (swordfish) is the source of this 957-nucleotide long non-coding RNA. RefSeq lists it as uncharacterized. The transcript is spliced from 2 exons. Lineage: Eukaryota; Metazoa; Chordata; Actinopteri; Istiophoriformes; Xiphiidae. The record is from RefSeq and is a predicted model, not a curated record.
AAGCGACACAGCAGAACUGUAUUAGCAAUCAGAGGAGGUUUGACAGUACUGCACUGAAACUGGUUCAUAAUUCCGUAGUUCUAUAUAUAGAUACAGGAGGCAUCUGUCAGCUAAUAAGUUUUAUGAUCAUCUAUUUUCAGAAAAUGUUAAACCUCCAAUUUAUAACUUUCUGGACAGGACUGGAAUAAUAACUGAAAUCUAAAAUGAACCGAUUCCUGAUCUUAACAGCAGCCAACAGCUGAGUCUGUAGAGUUAGAGGUUGCAAAGCCUUUGAAUAUUUUUGCAUCGUCUGUUGCCAAUUCUCCACUUAACGCGAAGUGAUUAUGAAUAGUCCACUGAGCUCCAGGUGAUACUCAGAGCAGUCGAGCUGUUCAGUGUCUGGGUUACAAUUGAUCUUUGGGAUGUCAAAGCGGAACCUUGGUCAUCAGAGCGAGGGGGUGUGAUGGCCCUCCCGCUGUACAGAGGGAUGUCCUUGUCAAGCACAGCGGCAGACAGCCGGCUGACAGUGGAGGGCUGUUAGUUCAUCUAGUUCACCCGGGCUCCGAGGCUCCUCCCUCAGCUGACAUCCGCUCUGCAUCGUCUUCUUUUCCAUGUGCACUCUCAACACCUCCACGGCACAUAACGCACACGUCCAUGCUUUCAUUGCAGGUGUUGCUGAUCUCCCACCCUGUUUUUCAUUCUGUAUUGACUUUGGUUUUUAUAUAAAUUGCAGUUAUUUCAGUAAAAAGUCAUGUGUGGAUUCCCUGUGGAAAAAUGCACAAAGACAACACAGAAAGGGAUAAUCAGCUGAGACAAUCAAUACUCACUAGGGAAGCUGCACAUAAUCUCAGCGUGAUAUGUCCUCUCUCUCCCCAACCACCACCAUGUACACAUACAUUACAUCCCCUACACACGAGUUAGAGCAGUGGUAUAGAACUAAACCUGUAACGUAAAAAUAAAAGCUUUAUCAUUCACCAU